GUUUGUGGAUGCAUGUGAACGUUCUGUGUUGAAACAGCAGCUUUUGACUCACUAACGCUGCUAAAAACCAAGAACUCCUUUAUUUGUGACUUCCACUAAAAAAACUGAUGAAAAUAAGUUUGCCAGGGUUCUGACUGAGAACAGAUUAUUAAAUAAUGAAAAUAAUCAUUUAAAUAUUCCUUUAAACAAUCCUUUUAGGUCCACAUUUCCUUUACACUGACUUCUUGGUAUAUGUACAAGUAUUUUGGUUGGAAUAUACCAUUAAACUCACCUUUUAGGUCUACAUUGGAGGAUUUUAGGUGGAAUUUUCUUCCAAACCGUCUUUUAGUCUACAUUAAAGGAUGUUUAGGAUGGUAUAUUCUUCCGAACCAACUUCUCAGGUCUACAUUUCAGGUGGAAUAUUCCUCCAUACUAACUUUUUUGGUCUACAUUGAAGGAUUUUUUUCUAAACCACCCUUUCGGGUCUAUAUUUGAGGUUUUUGGUGGAAUAUUCCUUUUAACCAGCCCCUCAGGUCUCUUUGAGGAUUUUGGAUGGAAUACUCUGUUAAACCAACAUUUUAGGUGCAUGUCCAAGGAUUUUUGGUGAAAUGUUCCUUUAAAGUGGAUGUUUGAGGACCUUGUCGGUGGAAUACU
Amphiprion ocellaris (clown anemonefish) is the source of this 633-nucleotide long non-coding RNA. NCBI's taxonomy places the organism in Eukaryota, Metazoa, Chordata, Actinopteri, Pomacentridae. The record is from Ensembl.